This 395-nucleotide ribosomal RNA is filed under the name uncultured bacterium. Its description in RNAcentral is "bacterial SSU rRNA". It matches the Rfam family "Bacterial small subunit ribosomal RNA", at positions 90 to 518 of the family's 1533-position model. The record is from RNAcentral.
UGGCAGUGGCGGACGGGUGAGUAACACGUAGGAAUCUAUCCCGGGGUGGGGGACAACAGUGGGAAACUACUGCUAAUACCGCAUGAUACCUGAGGGUCAAAGGCGCAAGUCGCCUUGGGAGGAGCCUGCGUCUGAUUAGCUUGUUGGUGGGGUAAAGGCCUACCAAGGCGACGAUCAGUAGCUGGUCUGAGAGGAUGAUCAGCCACAUUGGGACUGAGACACGGCCCAAACUCCUACGGGAGGCAGCAGUGGGGAAUAUUGGACAAUGGGGGAAACCCUGAUCCAGCAAUGCCGCGUGUGUGAAGAAGGUCUUCGGAUUGUAAAGCACUUUUGGCAGGGACGAUGAUGACGGUACCUGCAGAAUAAGCCCCGGCUAACUUCGUGCCAGCAGCCGC